RNAcentral lists this long non-coding RNA (238 nucleotides) under Mytilus galloprovincialis (Mediterranean mussel). Lineage: Eukaryota; Metazoa; Mollusca; Bivalvia; Mytilida; Mytilidae. The record is from RNAcentral.
GAAAUCGCGGGCAUAUACAGCUUGUGAACUGUUGUAGGAUGAUGUUUGUAAAAGAUAAUUAUGUAUCAUGGAGAAUUUCAGAAAAGGUAUCAAAAGCCCUCUCCCUUUUUCCAAAGUUCGAUAUUUGUUUCCUUUCUGUUAAAUUCAACUAUUUUCGUGUUUCUGGCCUCAGACCACAAUUAUUCUUCUCCUUUGCUACAAUGCAUCUUUUGGUAAAAGUCAAAUUAAAUUAAAAAUU